This 842-nucleotide ribosomal RNA is filed under the name Wettsteinina lacustris. RNAcentral's name for it is "mitochondrial SSU rRNA". It matches the Rfam family "Bacterial small subunit ribosomal RNA", at positions 417 to 1171 of the family's 1533-position model. Lineage: Eukaryota; Fungi; Ascomycota; Dothideomycetes; Pleosporales. The record is from RNAcentral.
AAUGAUUUAUUAACUUGCUUGACUAGGUCUUAUAAAAUUCUGGAUAAAGCUUAUAAUGAAAACUUUAUAUCUAUAGGUCUCGACUAAAUCUUGUGCCAGCAGUCGCGGUAAGACAAGGGAGACGAGUGUUAUUCAUCUUUAACAGGUAUAUAGGGUACCUAGACGGUGUACAAAGGCUUGUAUUAGUACCUGCUACACUUGAGUUUAAUAUGUGAGAGGAAAAUUUCAGAAUUGUUGGUGUAUGGGAUGAAAUCUUUUGAUACUGAUAAGACUGAUAACGGCGAAGGCAAACCUCUAUGUAUAAGUGCUUACUUUUUUUUAUAUAAAUGAUAGGAAUAAAACGGAUAAAGGUAAAAGGAAUAUCAUAUAUAAAGCAAUUAUAGAAAGUAAGAUACGAUAACUGACGUUGAGGGACGAAGGCUCAGGGAGUGAAGAGGAUUAGAUACCCCCGUAGUCUGGGCAGACAAUGAUGAGUGCCAUAGGUUAGCUUUAGGCUGAACUAUAAAUGAAAGUGGAAGCACUCCACCUCAAGAGUAAUGUGGCAACGCAGGAACUGAAAUCAUUAGACCGUUUCUGAAACCAGUAGUGAAGUAUGUUAUUUAAUUCGAUGAUCCUCGAAUAACCUUACCACAAUUUGAAUGCUCUACAAUACUCUAUACUUAAGAUAUGGUUAAAUAUUUUUAACAAAUGAUCAUAUGUUGUAAUUAGAUUAUGUAGACCACAUGCGUUGCAUGGCUGUCUUCAGUUAAUGUCGUGAGAUUUGGUUAGGUCCAUUAAAUUAACGUAAACCCUUGUUUUAUUUAAUACAAUAAGGCAGCGCACCGCUUACAAUUGGAUGUGAU